RNAcentral lists this unclassified non-coding RNA (211 nucleotides) under Hevea brasiliensis (rubber tree). The record is from RNAcentral. Lineage: Eukaryota; Viridiplantae; Streptophyta; Magnoliopsida; Malpighiales; Euphorbiaceae.
CAUGCUUCAUAUAUGGACUUCAAUUGAUGAAAUCUACACGACGUCAGCUAGAAAGAGAGCUGCUUCUAGAAGACAUCCAGCGUGUGGAAGAAAUGACUUCAUAUGGGCUACUCGUGCGAUAGCCAUAUUUUUCGAGCAUUGUUUGCUUAAUGCCUUACUGAACUUAGAAGGGCAGUUGUAUUUGUAACAAUUUUUAAGUAAUGUAGCUGAG